Molecule: ribosomal RNA, 484 nt
Filed under: uncultured bacterium
Lineage: Bacteria
Description: partial 16S ribosomal RNA
Rfam family: Bacterial small subunit ribosomal RNA
Source: RNAcentral
AUUGAACGCUGGCGGCAGGCCUAACACAUGCAAGUCGAGCGGAUGGAGGGAGCUUGCUCCUGGAUUCAGCGGCGGACGGGUGAGUAAUGCCUAGGAAUCUGCCUGGUAGUGGGGGAUAACGUCCGGAAACGGGCGCUAAUACCGCAUACGUCCUGAGGGAGAAAGUGGGGGAUCUUCGGACCUCACGCUAUCAGAUGAGCCUAGGUCGGAUUAGCUAGUUGGUGGGGUAAAGGCCUACCAAGGCGACGAUCCGUAACUGGUCUGAGAGGAUGAUCAGUCACACUGGAACUGAGACACGGUCCAGACUCCUACGGGAGGCAGCAGUGGGGAAUAUUGGACAAUGGGCGAAAGCCUGAUCCAGCCAUGCCGCGUGUGUGAAGAAGGUCUUCGGAUUGUAAAGCACUUUAAGUUGGGAGGAAGGGCAGUAAGUUAAUACCUUGCUGUUUUGACGUUACCAACAGGAUAAGCACCGGCUAACUUCGUG